UGCAGAGGUCUCAAGCGUUGUUCGGAUUCAUUGGGCGUAAAGGGUGCGUAGGUGGCGCUGUAAGUCGGGUGUGAAAUUUCGGAGCUUAACUCCGAAACUGCAUUCGAUACUGCGGUGCUUGAGGACUGGAGAGGAGACUGGAAUUCAUGGUGUAGCAGUGAAAUGCGUAGAGAUCAUGAGGAAGACCAGUGGCGAAGGCGGGUCUCUGGACAGUUCCUGACGCUGAGGCACGAAGGUCAGGGGAGCAAACGGG
This 253-nucleotide ribosomal RNA is filed under the name uncultured bacterium. Its description in RNAcentral is "partial 16S ribosomal RNA". It matches the Rfam family "Bacterial small subunit ribosomal RNA", at positions 524 to 776 of the family's 1533-position model. The record is from RNAcentral.